This 492-nucleotide ribosomal RNA is filed under the name uncultured bacterium. RNAcentral's name for it is "partial 16S ribosomal RNA". It matches the Rfam family "Bacterial small subunit ribosomal RNA", at positions 29 to 507 of the family's 1533-position model. The record is from RNAcentral.
AGUGAACGCUGGCGGUAUGCCUAACACAUGCAAGUCGAACGGCAGCACAGUAAGAGCUUGCUCUUACGGGUGGCGAGUGGCGGACGGGUGAGGAAUACAUCGGAAUCUACUUUUUCGUGGGUGAUAACGUAGGGAAACUUACGCUAAUACCGCAUACGACCUACGGGUGAAAGCAGGGGAUCUUCGGACCUUGCGCGAUUGUAUGAGCCGAUGUCGGAUUAGCUAGUUGGCGGGGUAAAGGCCCACCAAGGCGACGAUCCGUAGCUGGUCUGAGAGGAUGAUCAGCCACACUGGAACUGAGACACGGUCCAGACUCCUACGGGAGGCAGCAGUGGGGAAUAUUGGACAAUGGGCGAAAGCCUGAUCCAGCCAUACCGCGUGGGUGAAGAAGGCCUUCGGGUUGUAAAGCCCUUUUGUUGGGAAAGAAAAGCAGCAGGUUAAUACCCCGCUGUUCUGACGGUACCCAAAGAAUAAGCACCGGCUAACUUCGUG